CAAUAGCGUGUAUUAAAGUUGUUGCAGUUAAAAAGCUCGUAGUUGGAUUUCUGGUGGGAGCGAUCGGUCUGGCGCUUAGCGCGAGUACUUGCAUCGUCUCCGGCCAUCCUUGGGGAGAGUCUGUCUGGCAUUAGGUUGUCGGGCAGAGGAUCCUCAUCGUUUACUGUGAAAAAAUUAGAGUGUUCAAAGCAGGCUUAUGCCGUUGAAUAUAUUAGCAUGGAAUAAUAAGAUAGGACUUUGGUACUAUUUUGUUGGUUUGCGCACCAAAGUAAUGAUUAAUAGGGACAGUUGGGGGCAUUCGUAUCCCGUUGUCAGAGGUGAAAUUCUUGGAUUUACGGAAGACGAACUACUGCGAAAGCAUUUACCAAGGAUGUUUNCAUUA
RNAcentral lists this ribosomal RNA (382 nucleotides) under uncultured eukaryote. RNAcentral's name for it is "partial 18S ribosomal RNA". It matches the Rfam family "Eukaryotic small subunit ribosomal RNA", at positions 592 to 975 of the family's 1831-position model. The record is from RNAcentral.